RNAcentral lists this ribosomal RNA (253 nucleotides) under uncultured bacterium. RNAcentral's name for it is "partial 16S ribosomal RNA". It matches the Rfam family "Bacterial small subunit ribosomal RNA", at positions 524 to 776 of the family's 1533-position model. The record is from RNAcentral.
UACGUAGGGUGCGAGCGUUGUCCGGAAUUAUUGGGCGUAAAGAGCUCGUAGGCGGUGUGUCGCGUCGGCCGUGAAAACCUGGGGCUCAACUCUGGGCGUGCGGUCGAUACGGGCAUCACUUGAGUUCGGCAGGGGAGACUGGAAUUCCUGGUGUAGCGGUGAAAUGCGCAGAUAUCAGGAGGAACACCGGUGCGAAGGCGGGUCUCUGGGCCGAUACUGACGCUGAGGAGCGAAAGCAUGGGUAGCGAACAGG